CAAAAACAUGUCUUUUUGAGUUAUUUUUAAAGUCUAACCUGCCCAAUGAAUAAUUUUUAAUGGCCGCAGUAAUUUGACUGUGCAAAGGUAGCAUAAUAAUUAGUCUUUUAAUUGAAGGCUUGUAUGAAUGGUUGGACGAAGUAUAAUCUGUUUCAUUUAAAUUUAUUAUAGAAUUUUAUAUUUUAGUAAAAAAGCUAAAAUUUUUUUAAAAGACGAGAAGACCCUAUAAAUCUUUAUAAUUUAUAUAUAUUUUUCUUUUUUGGAUUUGUUUUAUUUUAAUAAAUUGAAUUAUUUUAUUGGGGUGAUAUUAAAAUUUGAAUAACUUUUAAUUUUUUUUUACAUUAAUUUAUGAUUUAUUGAUCCAUUAAUAAUGAUUAUAAGAAUAAGUUACUUUAGGGAUAACAGCGUAAUUUUUUUGGAGAGUUCUUAUUGAUAAAAAAGUUUGCGACCUCGAUGUUGGAUUAAGAUAUAAUUUUAGGUGUAGUUGCUUAAAUAAUAAGUCUGUUCGACUUUUAAAUUCUUACAUGAUCUGAGUUCAAACCGGA
Molecule: ribosomal RNA, 545 nt
Filed under: Tephritis hurvitzi
Lineage: Eukaryota; Metazoa; Arthropoda; Insecta; Diptera; Tephritidae
Description: partial large subunit ribosomal RNA
Rfam family: Bacterial large subunit ribosomal RNA
Source: RNAcentral